RNAcentral lists this ribosomal RNA (468 nucleotides) under uncultured bacterium. RNAcentral describes it as "partial 16S ribosomal RNA". It matches the Rfam family "Bacterial small subunit ribosomal RNA", at positions 28 to 507 of the family's 1533-position model. The record is from RNAcentral.
GACGAACGCUGGCGGCGUGCUUAACACAUGCCAGUCGAACGGACAGGCCCUGCUUUUGUGGGGUGCUCGAGUGGCGAACGGGUGAGUAACACGUGAGUAACCUGCCCUUGACUUUGGGAUAACUUCAGGAAACUGGGGCUCAUACCGGAUAGGAGCUCCUGCUGCAUGGUGGUGGUUAGAAAGUUUCGGCGGUUGGGGAUGGACUCGCGGCUUAUCAGCUUGUUGGUGGGGUAGUGGCUUACCAAGGCUUUGACGGGUAGCCGGCCUGGGAGGGUGACCGGCCACAUUGGGACUGAGAUACGGCCCAGACUCCUACGGGCGGCAACAGUGGGGAAUAUUGCACAAUGGGCGGAAGCCUGAUGCAGCAACGCCGCGUGCGGGAUGACGGCCUCCGGGUUGUAAACCGCUUUCGCCUGUGACGAAGCGUGAGUGACGGUAAUGGGUAAAGAAGCACCGGCUAACUACGUG